GCCCGGGUCAUGAAGGAUGCAAAGAGGUGCAUGUGCAGUAUGUUCCUCGGACAUCGCAACUUCCUACGUCCAAAUGAAAAGACGCUAUAGUUCUUUAGAAGGGGACCAAGUCGGUUGGGGUAUUUCAUAAAAAACUGUAUACUUCACACGAGCCCUGGGUAUUAUGGAAGGUCUGGUACAAACACUCUCACAAUAGACUGUGCUAGGAUAAUAAACAGCAAUGUGGAAAACCGCCUAGUGAAUGGAUUGAGGGGUUGGAUACGUUGGAACAACUUUGUUUAUGCUUCCCAGCCGUCCCGACACGUGGAGUUCAGUCGUCAUCCACCACCGGGAACAAAGACCGCAAUCAGAAUUCUGGACAAGGUCACAAGUCAUAGGAUGAACCAUGCAAGUUUAAUGGGAGCUUAUAACCCUUGACAUUGUGGUCCAUAUAAAAUUCUGUAUUGGCCCAGAUAACAACCGCACCCUCCAGGCACGGGGUUGAUUACCUUGUAACGAACGCCCACUCUCGCCAAGUUGAAUAUUGGGACCAACACAGAGUUCUACUUUGGAAAAGAACCAGUAUCGACUACAUCUGCUACAUCCUCAUAUCCUCCAGGAACUUGCCAUUUGGUCUCGACUCAUCCAGUCUUCGCGUUUACCUUCCUGGCGCCGAGUAUCAGCAAAUUUGCUCAGGAAUGCAGAGAAAAUGUAAUCAGAGUCUGAGUGGAUGUACAUGCGUGGACUCAUAAUGAAUUUCACUGUUAGACACAACUGGUUACAAUAUCUAGUACGUGUUAGGUACUAGAUACAGUCACAGCAGUGUAUGUAUAUAUGGCUGGAAUUGUCUGUCGACCUGAACCGAUAGUCAGAGUGUGAAUAAUAUCAUUGGAAAUUCGAUUGAACUUUGUACCGGAAAUCAAGAGGAGUCAAACAGAAUGCAAUCAGCUUUGCUGGUGUCUUUGUAAAUAUUUAGCUGGGUAUUAUUUAAAACUGAGAAAUUUUCGAUUCGUCACUUGCUUUAUACUUACAGUUUUCAACGAAGAUUCAAAUAGAAACGAAGAGUUCGGAUCGCGAAUGCCCUGCGGUAUUUGGCUUGUUAGGUAAAUUGUAUUGUAAAUUGUAUCUCACUGGAUUUUCUCCGUUUUUACAAAAGGCGUAUUGGCUUAACAGGCUGCCAGAGACAUUCUUUGAAUUUCAUGGCAGCGUGUACCUUCGCUUUGAUUUAUCUAACUCGUUCGCAUUGGGUGUUGUUUCGUGCUAUAAUUUUGCCUUCGUUUCUCGGGGUAGUUACAUAUACACGGUGGAUGAAAAAAAAUACACUGGCGGUAAUUACUAGCUUUACAACUUUGAGUUCUUCUCUGCGUAUUUAUACUUGUAUAUAUACUUUAUACUUGUAUAUAUUUUAAAGAGCAGGUUGAUUCUCUGUUUACUUUUUAGUAUUUUCUUUAAAAAGUUCCUCGUUCUCCUUAACGUCUUUCUGACACUCGAUUCUAACGGGUGGCUUACGAAACACGAUCCUCCCAAGAAAAUCGUUUAACGACCUAAUUGAAAAUGUUCUAACAAUUUGUCUUGGCAGAGGAAAAGGUUUGUAUUCAAUGAAGAUAAAUCGUCAAUCGUCAUUAUCAACAUCUCACAGAUAUACAUACGGGGUGUCCAAAAAGUCCCGUAUCAUAUAUAUACUACUAGAAUCGUGAUAAAAUUUAGAAAAAAAACAGUGCUUGGAAAAUUGACAAAUUUUAAUCUGUUUUGAAAAAAAUUGCAAUCAAAAAUUGAAAAUUCUCACCGAUCAAGAACUUUAGCUGAUCGAUAAAAAGAGCAUCGGAUUGGCAAAGCCAUUUCCCCAAAUUCACCACCGGGAAUUAGUCUGUCCCUUUGGUUCCCACGGUGGAUCCACCUUAAGAACCAGAGAUAAUGCAGAACCACCAGGUGAAAAUUAUUUUUUGAAUAACCCCAUACUGGAUUAUAACACCGCCUGAAGUUUAUUUUACCAUAAAAAUCAAAUAAGCAGAUCAAUUCAGGCGGUGCGUUUCUAAUUGACAGAUAACCCUUUUCUCACAAGAAGCUCAGUAGCUGCUUCCUAUUAAGCACAGAGAAGAAGCAAUCGAUAGCUUCUAAUCUGAUAAUCAAUGAUCUUAAUUAUUUCGCAAAGUAAAUUAGAGCAGGUUAACGGAAUACCAUAAUUUAGACAGACCACCAAAUAAUUAGAUCCGAUUAGUUAGAAUUAUAGGAAAUUAAUAGCCAGUUCAAGCCUUACAAUUAAUGAUACCAUACCCUACGCGUUAAUAGUCCAAAGCCUUCCAAACCUUCCAAAAUCUCUCGUUUUUUUUUUCAGACACCCUGUAUGU
Cephus cinctus (wheat stem sawfly) is the source of this 2327-nucleotide RNA transcript. RefSeq lists it as uncharacterized. The record is from RefSeq and is a predicted model, not a curated record. NCBI's taxonomy places the organism in Eukaryota, Metazoa, Arthropoda, Insecta, Hymenoptera, Cephidae. The transcript has 4 exons.